GUGGACGCCAGUCUGCAUGGAGCCGACCUUGAAAUACCACCCUUUAAUGUUUGAUGUUCUAACGUGGACCCGUAAUCCGGGUUGCGGACAGUGUCUGGUGGGUAGUUUGACUGGGGCGGUCUCCUCCUAAAGAGUAACGGAGGAGCACGAAGGUUGGCUAAUCCUGGUCGGACAUCAGGAGGUUAGUGCAAUGGCAUAAGCCAGCUUGACUGCGAGCGUGACGGCGCGAGCAGGUGCGAAAGCAGGUCAUAGUGAUCCGGUGGUUCUGAAUGGAAGGGCCAUCGCUCAACGGAUAAAAGGUACUCCGGGGAUAACAGGCUGAUACCGCCCAAGAGUUCAUAUCGACGGCGGUGUUUGGCACCUCGAUGUCGGCUCAUCACAUCCUGGGGCUGAAGUAGGUCCCAAGGGUAUGGCUGUUCGCCAUUUAAAGUGGUACGCGAGCUGGGUUUAGAACGUCGUGAGACAGUUCGGUCCCUAUCUGCCGUGGGCGCUGGAGAACUGAGGGGGGCUGCUCCUAGUACGAGAGGACCGGAGUGGACGCAUCACUGGUGUUCGGGUUGUCAUGCCAAUGGCACUGCCCGGUAGCUAAAUGCGGAAGAGAUAAGUGCUGAAAGCAUCUAAGCACGAAACUUGCCCCGAGAUGAGUUCUCCCUGAGACUUAAAGUCUCCUGAAGGAACGUUGAAGACGAC
This 690-nucleotide ribosomal RNA is filed under the name Salmonella enterica subsp. enterica serovar Mikawasima. Its description in RNAcentral is "partial 23S ribosomal RNA". It matches the Rfam family "Bacterial large subunit ribosomal RNA", at positions 2164 to 2848 of the family's 2925-position model. RNAcentral also lists the same sequence under 1 other name. The record is from RNAcentral. Lineage: Bacteria; Pseudomonadati; Pseudomonadota; Gammaproteobacteria; Enterobacterales; Enterobacteriaceae.